UACGUAGGGUGCGAGCGUUGUCCGGAAUUAUUGGGCGUAAAGAGCUCGUAGGCGGUCUGUCGCGUCGAUCGUGAAAACUUGGGGCUUAACCCUGAGCUUGCGGUCGAUACGGGCAUGACUGGAGUUCGGCAGGGGAGACUGGAAUUCCUGGUGUAGCGGUGAAAUGCGCAGAUAUCAGGAGGAACACCGGUGGCGAAGGCGGGUCUCUGGGCCGGAUACUGACGCUGAGGAGCGAAAGCGUGGGGAGCGAACAGG
This 255-nucleotide ribosomal RNA is filed under the name uncultured bacterium. RNAcentral describes it as "partial 16S ribosomal RNA". It matches the Rfam family "Bacterial small subunit ribosomal RNA", at positions 524 to 776 of the family's 1533-position model. The record is from RNAcentral.